GGGCCUGUGGUCUAGCGGUUAUGACAUCGCCUUUACACGGCGAGGAUCGAGGGUUCAAUUCCCUCCGGGCCCA
RNAcentral lists this transfer RNA (73 nucleotides) under Methanobacteriota archaeon. Its description in RNAcentral is "Euryarchaeota archaeon tRNA-Val". It matches the Rfam family "tRNA". Rfam says of the family: Transfer RNA (tRNA) molecules are approximately 80 nucleotides in length. The record is from RNAcentral. Lineage: Archaea; Methanobacteriati; Methanobacteriota.